GGCCUCUUGCCAUCGGAUGUGCCCAGAUGGGAUUAGCUAGUAGGUGGGGUAACGGCUCACCUAGGCGACGAUCCCUAGCUGGUCUGAGAGGAUGACCAGCCACACUGGAACUGAGACACGGUCCAGACUCCUACGGGAGGCAGCAGUGGGGAAUAUUGCACAAUGGGCGCAAGCCUGAUGCAGCCAUGCCGCGUGUAUGAAGAAGGCCUUCGGGUUGUAAAGUACUUUCAGCGGGGAGGAAGGGAGUAAAGUUAAUACCUUUGCUCAUUGACGUUACCCGCAGAAGAAGCACCGGCUAACUCCGUGCCAGCAGCCGCGGUAAUACGGAGGGUGCAAGCGUUAAUCGGAAUUACUGGGCGUAAAGCGCACGCAGGCGGUUUGUUAAGUCAGAUGUGAAAUCCCCGGGCUCAACCUGGGAACUGCAUCUGAUACUGGCAAGCUUGAGUCUCGUAGAGGGGGGUAGAAUUCCAGGUGUAGCGGUGAAAUGCGUAGAGAUCUGGAGGAAUACCGGUGGCGAAGGCGGCCCCCUGGACGAAGACUGACGCUCAGGUGCGAAAGCGUGGGGAGCAAACAGGAUUAGAUACCCUGGUAGUCCACGCCGUAAACGAUGUCGACUUGGAGGUUGUGCCCUUGAGGCGUGGCUUCCGGAGCUAACGCGUUAAGUCGACCGCCUGGGGAGUACGGCCGCAAGGUUAAAACUCAAAUGAAUUGACGGGGGCCCGCACAAGCGGUGGAGCAUGUGGUUUAAUUCGAUGCAACGCGAAGAACCUUACCUGGUCUUGACAUCCACGGAAGUUUUCAGAGAUGAGAAUGUGCCUUCGGGAACCGUGAGACAGGUGCUGCAUGGCUGUCGUCAGCUCGUGUUGUGAAAUGUUGGGUUAAGUCCCGCAACGAGCGCAACCCUUAUCCUUUGUUGCCAGCGGUCCGGCCGGGAACUCAAAGGAGACUGCCAGUGAUAAACUGGAGGAAGGUGGGAAUGACGUCAAGUCAUCAUGGCCCUUACGACCAGGGCUACACACGUGCUACAAUGGCGCAUACAAAAGAGAAGCGACCUCGCGAGAGCAAGCGGACCUCAUAAAGUGCGUCGUAGUCCCGGAUUGGAGUCUGCAACUCGACUCCAUGAAAGUCGGAAUCGCUAGUAAUCGUGGAUCAGAAUGCCACGGGUGAAUAACGUUUCCCGGGUCUUGUACA
This 1191-nucleotide ribosomal RNA is filed under the name uncultured Shigella sp. RNAcentral describes it as "bacterial SSU rRNA". It matches the Rfam family "Bacterial small subunit ribosomal RNA", at positions 209 to 1387 of the family's 1533-position model. The record is from RNAcentral. Lineage: Bacteria; Pseudomonadati; Pseudomonadota; Gammaproteobacteria; Enterobacterales; Enterobacteriaceae.